Molecule: ribosomal RNA, 253 nt
Filed under: uncultured bacterium
Lineage: Bacteria
Description: partial 16S ribosomal RNA
Rfam family: Bacterial small subunit ribosomal RNA
Source: RNAcentral
UACGAAGGGGGCUAGCGUUGCUCGGAAUGACUGGGCGUAAAGGGCGCGUAGGCGGAGUGCUUUGUCUGGCGUGAAAUUCCAGGGCUCAACCUUGGGGCUGCGUUCGAGACGGGCAUUCUAGAGUUCGGAAGAGGGUCGUGGAAUUCCCAGUGUAGAGGUGAAAUUCGUAGAUAUUGGGAAGAACACCGGUGGCGAAGGCGGCGACCUGGUCCGAGACUGACGCUGAGGCGCGAAAGCGUGGGGAGCAAACAGG